Centruroides sculpturatus (bark scorpion) is the source of this 251-nucleotide long non-coding RNA. RefSeq lists it as uncharacterized. The transcript is spliced from 3 exons. NCBI's taxonomy places the organism in Eukaryota, Metazoa, Arthropoda, Arachnida, Scorpiones, Buthidae. The record is from RefSeq and is a predicted model, not a curated record.
GCUUUAUAUAGAAAUAUUAAUAAAUAUAAAUUUUUAGGAAAAUAAUUAAAAUAAUUUUACUCUACUUUCAGAUUAUGAUCUUAAUUAUAUUUAUUUUAUACGUAUUUUUGUCAAUUAUGAAUAAAGUGGAUUGGAAAAUAGGAGCCUUAUCCCUUACUAUACCAAAAGCUAUAAGAAUAACUCUUGUGGAAGGGAAAUUCAUCGCCGAACAACUAGAAAGAUGGAAAAAAUCUAUAAAUCUCGAUUUUAAC